Long non-coding RNA from Ictalurus furcatus (blue catfish), 621 nucleotides. RefSeq lists it as uncharacterized. Lineage: Eukaryota; Metazoa; Chordata; Actinopteri; Siluriformes; Ictaluridae. The record is from RefSeq and is a predicted model, not a curated record. The transcript is spliced from 4 exons.
AUUGUUUUCGUCCUUCUCUACUUCCUGGAUGUGUUCCGAGCGCACGGACAUACACGUGCCUGCGCAGAUUCCCUGAACUACUAGGGUCGCGGGGAAACUUGAGCCUUUCCCAGGGAGCAUGGGGUAAAAGGCGGGGUUCACCCUGGAAAGGGUGCCAAUCCAUCGCAGGGCACAUAAGACAUUCACACACCCAUUCAUACUCUACAGACACUUUGGACAUGCCAAUCAGCCUACCAUGCAUGUUUUUGGACUGGGGGAGGAAACUCGAGUACCUGGAGGAAACCCCCACAGCACGGGGAGAACAUGCAAACUCUGCACAUACAGGGUAGAGGCAGGAAUCGAACCCGCAACCCUGGAGAAUGAAGAGUAAAGCCCACACCUGCGUGCCGCCUCAGACUUCCUGGGACAUUUGAGCUGGGGGAAGGGGUAGUAUGGACUCAUGGGAGUAUGAGUGGACCGGUAGCUUCCACAGCUCAACUGUCUGGACAACACUGCAGCUGGGUGAUGUAUGAGGAGCCAAACUACCGUGGCCGUAUGUACAUCAUGGAGAGAGGAAACUACUGCAGCCACAACGAGUGGCAGGCCCAGACCCCCAACAUCCAGUCCAUCCGCAGGGUCGUC